CAAGGAAUUUUCGGCAAUGGGCGCAAGCCUGACCGAGCAACGCCGCGUGGAGGAUGACGGCUUUCGGGUUGUAAACUCCUUUUGGGUGGGACGAUAAUGACGGUACCAUCCGAAUCAGACCCGGCUAACUACGUGCCAGCAGCCGCGGUAAUACGUAGGGGUCGAGCGUUGUCCGGACUUACUGGGCGUAAAGCGUGGGUAGGUGGCCACUGAUGUGCCGUGUGAAAGCGCCGCGCUUCUCGCGGCGAGGUCGCGGUAGACACAGUGGCUCGAGGCACGGAGAGGGGCGUAGAAUUCCCGGUGUAGUGGUGAAAUGCGUAGAUAUCGGGAGGAAUACCAGUGGCGCAAGCGGCGCCCUGGCCGUGACCUGACACUGAGCCACGACGGCGUGGGGAGCAAACGGG
This 404-nucleotide ribosomal RNA is filed under the name uncultured bacterium. Its description in RNAcentral is "bacterial SSU rRNA". It matches the Rfam family "Bacterial small subunit ribosomal RNA", at positions 355 to 776 of the family's 1533-position model. The record is from RNAcentral.